AACCUGUCGCACAGUGGGGGAUAACGCUGGGAAACCGGCGCUAAUACCGCAUGAGGUUCUGUGGAUAAGCUGCAGAAAGAAAGCGAGCAAUCGCGCUGAGUGAGGGGCCUGCGUCCGAUUAGCUAGUUGGUGUGGUAAAGGCAUACCAAGGCGACGAUCGGUAGCUGGUCUGAGAGGACGGUCAGCCACACUGGGACUGAGACACGGCCCAG
This 212-nucleotide ribosomal RNA is filed under the name uncultured bacterium. RNAcentral describes it as "partial 16S ribosomal RNA". It matches the Rfam family "Bacterial small subunit ribosomal RNA", at positions 123 to 334 of the family's 1533-position model. The record is from RNAcentral.